RNAcentral lists this ribosomal RNA (253 nucleotides) under uncultured bacterium. RNAcentral's name for it is "partial 16S ribosomal RNA". It matches the Rfam family "Bacterial small subunit ribosomal RNA", at positions 524 to 776 of the family's 1533-position model. The record is from RNAcentral.
UACGUAGGGUGCAAGCGUUGUCCGGAAUUAUUGGGCGUAAAGAGCUCGUAGGCGGUCUGUCGCGUCGGAUGUGAAAGCCCGGGGCUUAACCCCGGGUCUGCAUUCGAUACGGGCAGACUAGAGUGUGGUAGGGGAGAUCGGAAUUCCUGGUGUAGCGGUGAAAUGCGCAGAUAUCAGGAGGAACACCGGUGGCGAAGGCGGAUCUCUGGGCCAUUACUGACGCUGAGGAGCGAAAGCAUGGGGAGCGAACAGG